RNA transcript from Macadamia integrifolia, 3633 nucleotides. It is a transcript of the gene named probable inactive histone-lysine N-methyltransferase SUVR2, with no coding region annotated. The record is from RefSeq and is a predicted model, not a curated record. NCBI's taxonomy places the organism in Eukaryota, Viridiplantae, Streptophyta, Magnoliopsida, Proteales, Proteaceae. The transcript is spliced from 10 exons.
CACGUCUUUCUUCCCUCUUUCUUUUUAUAGUUCCUCUCUCGCUUCAGCUUCCUCUCUCUGUUUAAUCACUUUUACUCUGCGGAGUGCGGACAGCUCUAAGAUAUUGUGUUCUUGCUGGGCGAAUCUCUCCAAUCGAUUGAUGUGCCCUAGCAUUUAAUGUAUCUUCACUGGAUGUUCUUGAUAAUGCCAGUUCAUUAUCGCUUUUGAUCGUUGGUAUUUGACUGAAUCUGCUUUCGGCUCUGCUUCAGUCUGAACCUGCUUUCUCGCUGGAAGCUGCAUGCCAUGACGAACCCAGGUAUCUCCGAUGCAGCUUCAAGGCAGUUUCAGUCUGUUUCGUUGCUGGUGAUGAUGUUCUAAACACUUUUCAUACUCUGCUGUUGUUGAGGUUUCCUACUGACUUAACUGUCUCCUACCUCAGUGAAAGAAGAAAGGUGGUGUUACAUUGACACUUGUCAUAGAUUCUAAUCAGAAAUGACACAAAAUCCAAGAGUUGGAAAGGCCUUUGCUGCAAUGAAGGCGAUUGGCCUUAAUGAAGAAAUUGUCAAGCCUGUCCUAAAAAAUCUCUGGAGAUUGUUUGAUAAAAACUGGGAUCCCAUUGAAGAAGACAACUAUAGAGCUCUUGCAGAUGCUAUAUUUGAGUACGAGGAAUCUAAGGCAGCAGAAGAAAGGGACCGAGGAGAAGCCAUUGCGAAUGAGUCUGAACCUUCGUUGAAAAGACUGCGUAGGCAACCGGGUGGUCAGUCCUCGACUUCAGGUUGGAACUCCAGCUCCAUUUUGGGUGAAGGUUCACUUAAAAGACCAAAACUUGAGGAGUAUGGAUCUGAAACUUGCUACAGACAGGGAAGAACAGGACCUAUGCAGUUUGUAGACCAAAGAGUUGAGCCUGAGCCUGAGCUUGAGGUUGUUUCACCUAUGGCACAUAUGAAAAACAAGGGAAAAGAAUCUGCUUCACCCCAAACUUGCCCCGAGCAGGAAGGAGCAGUGCCAUUAGAAAUAUGUAGAAGAGACAGAAGAAUUGAAUCUGACUCUGCUUCACUUCAGGUAUUAGAAAGACACAAAGGGAAGGAUUCACCCGAAACUGCCGUUGAGGAGAAAAGAUCACCUUCAAUUUUUAAGGACAAAGGGAAGGAGCCUGUUUCACCUCAAAAUGCUUUUAGGGACAAAAUAUCUCCUUCAGAGGGAGCAGCAUCUCAGGCAGUCUGUCUUAAAGUGCCCAAGAUUGAGCCAGGAAUUGUUGUUAUCCCUAGAGAACAGAUUCCUAAUCAGAAAUAUAAUGACUUCAUAGAGCCCAAAAGCCAGGAUUUCACAGAUGAUCUGCCUCAGUUUGUGGUUCCAAUCGCCAUGAUCCGUCCAAUUCCAGUCCCCCAGAGAAUUGAAGAUCCUGUUAGUACAAAGGCUUCUUCAAGCAGAAAUUGUUCCGCUGUGGAAGUGGAUUGUCAGCCGGCCCAGGCUUCUCAGUCGGAGGAUGCAGAAGGUGAAGGUGAUUGGGUUUCAGAUAAAGCUUGCAAGACUGGGAAGGAGCAUGAACAUGUAAACAUCCCAAAAGAAUCUUCUGUUAGUUUUGAGAUUGCAUCUUCACCACUGGGAGAGGUCAAAAUCUUGUUAAGCUGUGAUUCUGCACCUGGGCAAUCGGGCUUCCAUGUCCCAAAUCUGGACAAAGUUCUUAAAAUGGUGGAGGACAGAUGUAUAAAAUCGUACCGAAUUGUUGAGCCCCGUUUCUCUGUGAUGAAUCUAAUGAAAGAAUUGUGCCUGUGUUUUCUGGAAUUGGGUAGUGGCCCUACAGAUAAAAAAGCAGAAAAUGGAAGAAACGCAAUACCAACUCUUGAUACAUUGGGAAGCUCUAAUGUGGCAAAUGCUCUGGGACCCAAGCAGAAUCUUCAGAACAACUUUAACGUGUCCCUGGGUUCAUCGAGUGGAUCAGGUGAUUUUAACAUUCCUCUGCCACAAAUUUCGAGGCAUCUAGCCAUGGAUGGCCUGGAUAGACAUGAUCCCAUUACACGACUUAAUCACAAAGUUGUUGCGAACUCUAAUGCUGAAAGGAAGAAGAAGAAAAAGGAGCCAAAAGAUCAAGGUAGAGGAAAUUCGAGUAGUUUGCUGGCUGUCCAACAGCACCUGUUUGGUGAUGUGAGGCCUCUCCAUGAUGUCAGUGACAUAUCUAAAGGGGAAGAAAAGAGAAGAAUUUCAGUAGUAAAUGAAUUUGGUGGAGACGAGUGUCCACCUUUAUUUUACUAUAUUCGACAAAAUAUUGUCUAUCAAAGUGCAUAUGUAAAAUUUUCACUUGCAAGGAUUGGAGACGAAGAUUGUUGUUCGAGCUGUUUUGGUGAUUGUUUAUCGUCUUCCAUACCUUGUGCUUGUGCACGAGAAAGUGGGGGUGAGUUUGCAUACACACAGGAAGGUAGAGUGAAGGAAAGGUUUCUGGAUGAAUGUAUUUCUAUGCUUCGUGACCCUGAUGGACACCCAUCGCGUUUUUAUUGCAAAGAUUGUCCCCUAGAAAGAUCAAAGAAUGAUGGGUUGGCGGAUCCAUGCAAGGGCCACUUAGUGAGGAAGUUUAUUAAGGAAUGCUGGAGUAAAUGUGGCUGCAACAAGCGAUGUAAAAAUCGAGUAGUGCAGCGAGGCAUAACAUGCAAGUUGCAGGUGUUCAUGACACCUGGAAAGAAAGGAUGGGGUCUUCAGUCACUUGAGGGUCUUCCUAAAGGUACUUUUAUCUGUGAGUAUGUGGGUGAAAUUGUUACUAACAUUGAGCUAUAUGAGCGCAAUAUGCGAAGCUCAGGAAAGGAAAAACAUACAUACCCUGUGCUGCUUGAUGCUGAUUGGGGCUCUGAAGGAGUAUUAAAUGAUGAAGAAUGUCUCUGUUUAGAUGCUACAUUCUAUGGAAAUGUUGCCAGAUUUAUUAAUCACAGAUGUUUUGAUGCCAACAUGAUUGGGAUUCCAGUGGAAGUGGAGACACCUGAUCAUCACUACUAUCAUGUAUGCUGCCAGAGUAUCUUCAUCUUGCUUUCUUCACAACAAGAAACAUAUUUGCUUUGGAAGAACUUACCUGGGACUACGGGAUUGACUUUGAUGACCAUAAACACCCUGUGAAGGCCUUUCAGUGUUGCUGUGGAAGCAAGUUCUGUCGAGACAAGAAGUGUUCAAACAGAGGCAAGUCACUAGUCUUGGGGUGACCAACAUGCGAGUCUUUCUGCUUGAAAUUACUGGAUCUUGAGUAUUCGUGAAGAUGUAAGCUGGUUAAUGCUACAGUUUCGCAAGUGGGAUGCCACCAUUGAGAAGAAAUCUGCUGAGUGAGGUGUCUGAAGGGUACACCUGAUAACUUACCUGUCUGAAUAUUUCAGUUCUUUGCUAAAUCUCCAAUGAGAUUUUUUGGGGCGAAUUGUACAGGUUUUUGUAGGUCAGAGGGGUUGGCUACUUUCAACUGAAGGCUGUAAAAUUUGCUGGUUUGCCUGGCUUUGUCUUAGUUUUUUCAAAAUGCAGAAUUCAUGGUUUUGUGAGAACCCAGUUUGCUAUGGUUAGCCUUUUGAAACUGGUUCCAUUUGUUUACCUUGAUGGAUUUUAGCUGCAGCACUGUAUUUGAAAAUGGUAGCAAGUCCACUUUUAUUAUGAUAAAAUUUUGAGGCAGAUACAGUUUUCUCGGGC